This is a long non-coding RNA of Mustela lutreola (European mink), 303 nucleotides long. RefSeq lists it as uncharacterized. NCBI's taxonomy places the organism in Eukaryota, Metazoa, Chordata, Mammalia, Carnivora, Mustelidae. The transcript is spliced from 3 exons. The record is from RefSeq and is a predicted model, not a curated record.
GCGGGCUUCGUCUCGGGAAAGCUACACCCAGGGGCGGUAUUACCCCAGGGUGAGCCACGCUCAGGGGCGGGACAAGUCCAGAACCCGGAACUGGAAGGAUGUUCGCAGUUCGCCAGUUUUCAAACAAGCCAACAAGAGCUUCAACCACGGGGACCUAGCGAGAUCACAAGCAGGCAGAGAGCAGGCAGAGAGAGAGGAAGGGAAGCAGGCUCCCUGCCAAGCAGAGAGCUGGAUGUGGGGCUCCGUCACAGGACCCUGGGAUCAUGACCUGAGCUGAAGGCAGAAGCGUUAACCCACUGAGCC